Gordionus sp. m RMFG-2023 is the source of this 329-nucleotide long non-coding RNA. RefSeq lists it as uncharacterized. NCBI's taxonomy places the organism in Eukaryota, Metazoa, Nematomorpha, Gordioida, Chordodea, Parachordodidae. The record is from RefSeq and is a predicted model, not a curated record. The transcript is spliced from 3 exons.
CCCAAAUUAACGACUCAAAGUGCCCAUAAAUUUACUUACGAAAUCGACACCUCCAGUACCAUAAAAAAUGAAGAGUGCAAUAUUAAAUCCAAUUCAGGAUGCCAAGAUAACGAAAUAUGCGUCGCUAAGCGUGGCAUCCCCAGAUGUCAUUGCGCCUCCAAUUACAUUAGGAUUUACCCAUCAUCUCUAUGCAUAAAAUUCAAAGAAAGAGUCUUAUACGUCGAAGUAUUAAAACCAAACAAGGAACCGUUUGAAUUUGAAUCGCCUCUCUUUAACAGAUCUUCCUUCAUCGUCAAAGAAUUGUACAAAAAAGCCCAAUUGGGAGUAAA